AGUGAACGCUGGCGGUAGGCCUAACACGUGCAAGUCGAACGGCAGCACAGGAGAGCUUGCUCUCUGGGUGGCGAGUGGCGGACGGGUGAGGAAUACAUCGGAAUCUACUCUGUCGUGGGGGAUAACGUAGGGAAACUUACGCUAAUACCGCAUACGACCUACGGGUGAAAGCAGGGGAUCUUCGGACCUUGCGCGAUUGAAUGAGCCGAUGUCGGCAUAGCUAGUUGGCGGGGUAAAGGCCCACCAAGGCGACGAUCCGUAGCUGGUCUGAGAGGAUGAUCAGCCACACUGGAACUGAGACACGGUCCAGACUCCUACGGGAGGCAGCAGUGGGGAAUAUUGGACAAUGGGCGCAAGCCUGAUCCAGCCAUACCGCGUGGGUGAAGAAGGCCUUCGGGUUGUAAAGCCCUUUUGUUGGAAAGAAAUCCAGCUGGCUAAUACCCGGUUGGGAUGACGGUACCCAAAGAAUAAGCACCGGCUAACUUCGUGCCAGCAGCCGCAGUAA
Molecule: ribosomal RNA, 505 nt
Filed under: uncultured bacterium
Lineage: Bacteria
Description: partial 16S ribosomal RNA
Rfam family: Bacterial small subunit ribosomal RNA
Source: RNAcentral